GCUACAGGCUUAACACAUGCAAGUCGAGUUUCAGCAUGGUCUUAGCUUGCUAAGGCCGAUGGCGACCGGCGCACGGGUGAGUAACACGUAUCCAACCUGCCGUCUACUCUUGGACAGCCUUCUGAAAGGAAGAUUAAUACAAGAUGGCAUCAUGAGUCCACAUGUUCACAUGAUUAAAGGUAUUCCGGUAGACGAUGGGGAUGCGUUCCAUUAGAUAGUAGGCGGGGUAACGGCCCACCUAGUCUUCGAUGGAUAGGGGUUCUGAGAGGAAGGUCCCCCACAUUGGAACUGAGACACGGUCCAAACUCCUACGGGAGGCAGCAGUGAGGAAUAUUGGUCAAUGGGCGAGAGCCUGAACCAGCCAAGUAGCGUGAAGGAUGACUGCCCUAUGGGUUGUAAACUUCUUUUAUAAAGGAAUAAAGUCGGGUAUGGAUACCCGUUUGCAUGUACUUUAUGAAUAAGGAUCGGCUAACUCCGUGCCAGCAGCCGCGGUAAUACGGAGGAUCCGAGCGUUAUCCGGAUUUAUUGGGUUUAAAGGGAGCGUAGAUGGAUGUUUAAGUCAGUUGUGAAAGUUUGCGGCUCAACCGUAAAAUUGCAGUUGAUACUGGAUAUCUUGAGUGCAGUUGAGGCAGGCGGAAUUCGUGGUGUAGCGGUGAAAUGCUUAGAUAUCACGAAGAACUCCGAUUGCGAAGGCAGCCUGCUAAGCUGCAACUGACAUUGAGGCUCGAAAGUGUGGGUAUCAAACAGGAUUAGAUACCCUGGUAGUCCACACGGUAAACGAUGAAUACUCGCUGUUUGCGAUAUACAGCAAGCGGCCAAGCGAAAGCGUUAAGUAUUCCACCUGGGGAGUACGCCGGCAACGGUGAAACUCAAAGGAAUUGACGGGGGCCCGCACAAGCGGAGGAACAUGUGGUUUAAUUCGAUGAUACGCGAGGAACCUUACCCGGGCUUAAAUUGCAGAUGAAUUACGGUGAAAGCCGUAAGCCGCAAGGCAUCUGUGAAGGUGCUGCAUGGUUGUCGUCAGCUCGUGCCGUGAGGUGUCGGCUUAAGUGCCAUAACGAGCGCAACCCUUGUUGUCAGUUACUAACAGGUUCCGCUGAGGACUCUGACAAGACUGCCAUCGUAAGAUGUGAGGAAGGUGGGGAUGACGUCAAAUCAGCACGGCCCUUACGUCCGGGGCUACACACGUGUUACAAUGGGGGGUACAGAGGGCCGCUACCACGCGAGUGGAUGCCAAUCCCAAAAACCUCUCUCAGUUCGGACUGGAGUCUGCAACCCGACUCCACGAAGCUGGAUUCGCUAGUAAUCGCGCAUCAGCCACGGCGCGGUGAAUACGUUCCCGGGCCUUGUACACACCGCCCGUCAAGCCAUGGGAGCCGGGGGUACCUGAAGUGCGUAACCGCGAGGAGCGCCCUAGGGUAAAACCGGUGAAA
Molecule: ribosomal RNA, 1433 nt
Filed under: uncultured organism
Description: SSU rRNA
Rfam family: Bacterial small subunit ribosomal RNA
Source: RNAcentral